CGAGAGUGACGGCUCGAGCAGGUACGAAAGUAGGUCUUAGUGAUCCGGUGGUUCUGAAUGGAAGGGCCAUCGCUCAACGGAUAAAAGGUACUCCGGGGAUAACAGGCUGAUACCGCCCAAGAGUUCAUAUCGACGGCGGUGUUUGGCACCUCGAUGUCGGCUCAUCACAUCCUGGGGCUGAAGUAGGUCCCAAGGGUAUGGCUGUUCGCCAUUUAAAGUGGUACGCGAGCUGGGUUUAGAACGUCGUGAGACAGUUCGGUCCCUAUCUGCCGUGGGCGUUGGAAGAUUGAGAGGGGUUGCUCCUAGUACGAGAGGACCGGAGUGAACGCACCACUGGUGUUCGGGUUGUCAUGCCAAUGGCAUUGCCCGGUAGCUAAGUGCGGAAAAGAUAAGCGCUGAAAGCAUCUAAGCGCG
This 414-nucleotide ribosomal RNA is filed under the name Algoriphagus aestuariicola. Its description in RNAcentral is "partial 23S ribosomal RNA". It matches the Rfam family "Bacterial large subunit ribosomal RNA", at positions 2376 to 2789 of the family's 2925-position model. The record is from RNAcentral. Lineage: Bacteria; Pseudomonadati; Bacteroidota; Cytophagia; Cytophagales; Cyclobacteriaceae.